This 441-nucleotide ribosomal RNA is filed under the name Lyssa zampa zampa. Its description in RNAcentral is "eukaryotic LSU rRNA". The record is from RNAcentral. Lineage: Eukaryota; Metazoa; Arthropoda; Insecta; Lepidoptera; Uraniidae.
AAACCGUUCAGGGGUAAACCUGCGAAACUCGAAUGAACGAACGGAGAGAUUCAUCGUUAUUCCGCGGCGCGCUGGCACGUCUGCGAUGCGGUUCGGCUUCGGUCGAUUCGCACGCGAUUGGCCAGUUCGCGUCCGUGGACGGCGUGCACUUCUCUCUUAGUAAUACAUCGCGACCCGUUAGAUGUCGGUCUAAGCGUCGCACGGGAGCCACCGUUGUGCGGUUUCGGCCGCCGAUGGUGACCGUCGCGAACGCCGACCGGCUGUCUGACGGUAUAAUGUUUAGGAAUCGCGCACGCGUUUAACGCGUCCGGCCCGACGCAAGGUAUCGUAGUCAUCUGUUUCCUGCCCAAGUGCGGACGUGGAUGCUGCGCGCCUGUGUAUCGCCGCCGUGCAGUCUCGGACUGUGCGCGUCUCUGUCUGCGAUGAUUCAGUUUCGGGCAC